UAACAAGGAUUCCCCUAGUAACGGCGAGUGAAGCGGGAACAGCUCAAAUUUUAAAUCUGCUGCUUUCAGUCCGAGUUGUAAUUUGAAGGGCUGUCGCUGGCAACGUGGCACAAGUCCUCUGGAACGGGGCAUCGUAGAGGGUGAGAAUCCCGUCUCGGUCAUCAUCUGGCAUACGGCAGGCAUCGAAGAGUCGAGUUGUUUGGGAUUGCAGCUCCAAUGGGUGGUAAACUCCAUCUAAGGCUAAUAUUGGCGAGAGACCGAUAGCGAACAAGUACCGUGAGGGAAAGAUGAAAGAACUUUGAAAGAGAGUAAAACAGUACGUGAAAUUGUUGAAAGGGAAACGCUUGAAG
RNAcentral lists this ribosomal RNA (350 nucleotides) under uncultured Glomeromycotina. Its description in RNAcentral is "eukaryotic LSU rRNA". It matches the Rfam family "Eukaryotic large subunit ribosomal RNA", at positions 66 to 428 of the family's 3401-position model. The record is from RNAcentral. Lineage: Eukaryota; Fungi; Glomeromycota.